This 253-nucleotide ribosomal RNA is filed under the name uncultured bacterium. Its description in RNAcentral is "partial 16S ribosomal RNA". It matches the Rfam family "Bacterial small subunit ribosomal RNA", at positions 524 to 776 of the family's 1533-position model. The record is from RNAcentral.
UACGUAGGGUGCAAGCGUUGUCCGGAAUUAUUGGGCGUAAAGAGCUCGUAGGCGGUCUGUCGCGUCGGCUGUGAAAUCUCGGGGCUCAACCCCGAGCCUGCAGUCGAUACGGGCAGACUAGAGUGUUGCAGGGGAGACUGGAAUUCCUGGUGUAGCGGUGAAAUGCGCAGAUAUCAGGAGGAACACCGGUGGCGAAGGCGGGUCUCUGGGCAACAACUGACGCUGAGGAGCGAAAGCGUGGGGAGCGAACAGG